Molecule: ribosomal RNA, 1271 nt
Filed under: Salmonella enterica
Lineage: Bacteria; Pseudomonadati; Pseudomonadota; Gammaproteobacteria; Enterobacterales; Enterobacteriaceae
Also listed under: 1 other name
Description: partial 23S ribosomal RNA
Rfam family: Bacterial large subunit ribosomal RNA
Source: RNAcentral
GGUUAAGCGACUAAGCGUACACGGUGGAUGCCCUGGCAGUCAGAGGCGAUGAAGGGCGUGCUAAUCUGCGAUAAGCGCCGGUAAGGUGAUAUGAACCGUUAUAACCGGCGAUACCCGAAUGGGGAAACCCAGUGUGACUCGUCACACUAUCAUUAACUGAAUCCAUAGGUUAAUGAGGCGAACCGGGGGAACUGAAACAUCUAAGUACCCCGAGGAAAAGAAAUCAACCGAGAUUCCCCCAGUAGCGGCGAGCGAACGGGGAGGAGCCCAGAGCCUGAAUCAGCAUGUGUGUUAGUGGAAGCGUCUGGAAAGGCGCGCGAUACAGGGUGACAGCCCCGUACACAAAAGCGCAUGUGCUGUGAGCUCGAUGAGUAGGGCGGGACACGUGGUAUCCUGUCUGAAUAUGGGGGGACCAUCCUCCAAGGCUAAAUACUCCUGACUGACCGAUAGUGAACCAGUACCGUGAGGGAAAGGCGAAAAGAACCCCGGCGAGGGGAGUGAAAAAGAACCUGAAACCGUGUACGUACAAGCAGUGGGAGCCCCACCACCAAAGCAUUCUCUGGUGUUGAAGGCCCUGCAAAGCAGCAUCGCGGUGGCGGAGCGUCGUUUGCGACGCCCAACACACAAAACAAGCGGUGAGUGCUUUGGGGUGGGGUGACUGCGUACCUUUUGUAUAAUGGGUCAGCGACUUAUAUUCUGUAGCAAGGUUAACCGAAUAGGGGAGCCGGAGGGAAACCGAGUCUUAAUUGGGCGUUAAGUUGCAGGGUAUAGACCCGAAACCCGGUGAUCUAGCCAUGGGCAGGUUGAAGGUUGGGUAACACUAACUGGAGGACCGAACCGACUAAUGUUGAAAAAUUAGCGGAUGACCUGUGGCUGGGGGUGAAAGGCCAAUCAAACCGGGAGAUAGCUGGUUCUCCCCGAAAGCUAUUUAGGUAGCGCCUCGUGAAUUCAUCUCCGGGGGUAGAGCACUGUUUCGGCUAGGGGGCCAUCCCGGCUUACCAACCCGAUGCAAACUGCGAAUACCGGAGAAUGUUAUCACGGGAGACACACGGCGGGUGCUAACGUCCGUCGUGAAGAGGGAAACAACCCAGACCGCCAGCUAAGGUCCCAAAGUCAUGGUUAAGUGGGAAACGAUGUGGGAAGGCCCAGACAGCCAGGAUGUUGGCUUAGAAGCAGCCAUCAUUUAAAGAAAGCGUAAUAGCUCACUGGUCGAGUCGGCCUGCGCGGAAGAUGUAACGGGGCUAAACCAUGCACCGAAGCUGCGGCAGCGA